Molecule: ribosomal RNA, 491 nt
Filed under: uncultured bacterium
Lineage: Bacteria
Description: bacterial SSU rRNA
Rfam family: Bacterial small subunit ribosomal RNA
Source: RNAcentral
GAUGAACGCUAGCGGCAGGCCUAAUACAUGCAAGUCGAGGGGCAGCGCGGUAGCAAUACUGGCGGCGACCGGCGCACGGGUGCGUAACACGUAUGCAACCUACCUUCAACUGGAGGAUAGCCCGGGGAAACUCGGAUUAAUACUCCAUAACACAGGGAUCCCGCAUGGGAAUAUUGUUAAAGCUACGGCGGUUGAAGAUGGGCAUGCGUUCGAUUAGCUAGUUGGUGUAGGUAACGGCUCACCAAGGCUACGAUCGAUAGGGGGUCUGAGAGGAUGAUCCCCCACACUGGUACUGAGAUACGGACCAGACUCCUACGGGAGCAGCAGUAGGGAAUAUUGGUCAAUGGGCGCAAGCCUGAACCAGCCAUGCCGCGUGCAGGAAGAAGGCCCUCUGGGUUGUAAACUGCUUUUGAUAGGGAACAAAUGCCACUUGCGAGUGGAGCUGAGUGUACCUAUAGAAUAAGCACCGGCUAAACUCCGUGCCAGCAGCC